RNAcentral lists this ribosomal RNA (253 nucleotides) under uncultured bacterium. RNAcentral's name for it is "partial 16S ribosomal RNA". It matches the Rfam family "Bacterial small subunit ribosomal RNA", at positions 524 to 776 of the family's 1533-position model. The record is from RNAcentral.
UACGUAGGGUGCAAGCGUUAAUCGGAAUUACUGGGCGUAAAGCGUGCGCAGGCGGCUUUGCAAGACAGAUGUGAAAUCCCCGGGCUUAACCUGGGAACUGCAUUUGUGACUGUAAGGCUAGAGUACGGUAGAGGGAGAUGGAAUUCCGCGUGUAGCAGUGAAAUGCGUAGAUAUGCGGAGGAACACCAAUGGCGAAGGCAGUCCCCUGGACCUGUACUGACGCUCAUGCACGAAAGCGUGGGGAGCAAACAGG